CUAAGGCCUUUGAGUCCCUACGUUUGACCGAAUCCCAUUUUUGGAAUGGACAUCGUCACCCCUCCAGAGCAGCUCUCCUAGUUGUAUGACUCCAUCUUUGAAAAGUCUGAUUGUGAUACGAUUGAUCUUGAUGAGUUGCUGAUGGUUUGGGCUCAGGACCCAUCCAGAUGGCUCUUGAAGACGAUGAUCAAGUUUUCUCAAGAAAGCUGCUGAUCUUGAAGCCACUAAAGCUUCACUAGCCUCUCCAGCUUAAUUAUACCUGCUGUUAUUCUUACUUGUACUCUCAAACAUUGUAGCUUGGGUUGCCCAUAACAGAAUGGCAUAACUAUUACUUCAACUGCAAUCCGAG
RNAcentral lists this unclassified non-coding RNA (349 nucleotides) under Hevea brasiliensis (rubber tree). The record is from RNAcentral. Lineage: Eukaryota; Viridiplantae; Streptophyta; Magnoliopsida; Malpighiales; Euphorbiaceae.